UGGUGAUUUAGUUGAAUUCCUUGAUAAUGAAUUGAGAAUUCAAUACUAUGACGAUGAAUUUUAUAGUGUUUUAACUCAAGGAACAUAUGGACUUUGUUACCACAUCAUUGAUGACUGAACAAGCCCCGAUCUUUUUCCCGAAAUUAAUGAAGUGUCAAUAUUCACAAUACAGUCUAAUACCAUUUUGUACCAAGAAACGAAUCACCUCAAGAAAAGGAUACAUCAAAUCUAUGGGGAAAUGACGGUUUUAAUUCAGAUGUGAAUUACAUUUUAUGGCGGGCAAUAGAGUCCAAAAACUAUUUGUAAAAAUUAGUAUUUUGUGUGUAAAUUUUAUGUAGAGUCUUCAAUUAUGUUAAGC
Long non-coding RNA from Daktulosphaira vitifoliae (grape phylloxera), 358 nucleotides. RefSeq lists it as uncharacterized. NCBI's taxonomy places the organism in Eukaryota, Metazoa, Arthropoda, Insecta, Hemiptera, Phylloxeridae. The transcript has 3 exons. The record is from RefSeq and is a predicted model, not a curated record.